This 444-nucleotide ribosomal RNA is filed under the name uncultured bacterium. RNAcentral describes it as "partial 16S ribosomal RNA". It matches the Rfam family "Bacterial small subunit ribosomal RNA", at positions 355 to 810 of the family's 1533-position model. The record is from RNAcentral.
UGGGGAAUAUUGCACAAUGGGCGAAAGCCUGAUGCAGCGACGCCGCGUGAGGGAUGACGGCCUUNGGGUUGUAAACCUCUUUCAGCAGGGAAGAAGCGAAAAGUGACGGUACCUGCAGAAGAAGCGCCGGCUAACUACGUGCCAGCAGCCGCGGUAAUACGUAGGCGCAAGCGUUGUCCGGAAUUAUUGGGCGUAAAGAGCUCGUAGGCGGUUAGUCGCGUCUGCUGUGAAAACUCGAGGCUCAACCUCGGGCUUGCAGUGGGUACGGGCUGACUAGAGUGCGGUAGGGGUGACUGGAAUUCCUGGUGUAGCGGUGGAAUGCGCAGAUAUCAGGAGGAACACCGAUGGCGAAGGCAGGUCACUGGGCCGCAACUGACGCUGAGGAGCGAAAGCAUGGGGAGCGAACAGGAUUAGAUAGCCCUGGUAGUCCAUGCCGUAAACGUU